RNAcentral lists this long non-coding RNA (267 nucleotides) under Ananas comosus (pineapple). Its description in RNAcentral is "long non-coding RNA (ACOM_LNC014833)". Lineage: Eukaryota; Viridiplantae; Streptophyta; Magnoliopsida; Poales; Bromeliaceae. The record is from RNAcentral.
AAUUAGAUAACAUAACAUCCGUCGGAUCGAACCCGCUUAUGGGCGUACCCGAUUCGAUUUAACCGAAUGCCAACAGUAUUUUAAAAUUUUAGAUUUAAUAUAAUAUAUUUUGAAAUAUUGAAAAAAAAAAUAAUUGUUUCGGGUUCAAAUUUUUGGGUUCGGGUUCGGGUUUGGGUUUCGAAAUUUUGGUCGGGUUCGGAUUUGGAUAUGGAUUUUUAAAAUCCGUCGGGUUCAGGUCUCGGGCUUGGAGUCGAGUUCGAGUUCGGG